GUUUUGGUACUCAGGCAGUGUCUAUAGAAACAUAAUACACCAACUUAAAUUAAUAAAUCUACUAUAAACCAGCCCAACUCUAUAAGCUUGAUAACUAGUACCCCGCGAAUUAGAGAUUCUCAGCAGAGAUUUAGUACUGAAAACUAAAUGAAAAAUGCCAGAAAAGUACUCUAAUACUAUAUGUAGUAUAUAUUUAGAUAUGCUUAUAAGCAAAAGACCAACUGAAAAGCAAUGCCACAGUGAUUGAUCAGAGCACUGCUUAACGAGUAAAACGCGGACGCACAGGAGUCUUUGAUGGGCUUACCCUUAUGGGAAGUGAUCCCAGGAAUGCACCACUGCAGUUCAGUGCUAUAAUUGCGCUCUCUGCCAUGACAAACUCAACAAAAGCGAUACGAGUCGAAUGAUGAUAGUCACCAAGCAACCUCAAGCGAUGAACCUCUCCACAUAAGGACUCAAAAAACAGCUUGACAUCUGCUUGAGUAAUCUUCUUAUCAAUAUUUGUACAGUACACAGUUCUAGCACACAUCUCUCUUUCAUCUUCAGACCUAGGAAGAAAGGUUGGAUUAACCGGUGCAAUCGCAGUUUUAGAAGGAAGCACUCUCACAGGAUAACCCCCAAGGAUAGUUCCUGCAAGACUCAGAGCACUCCUUGCGCCUUCUUCAUCAGUAAACUCAAUAAAUGCAAAACGGAGUACAGAAUUGGGAUCUCCACAGAUACGACAGUCAACCACCUGCCCGCAG
RNAcentral lists this unclassified non-coding RNA (740 nucleotides) under Hevea brasiliensis (rubber tree). The record is from RNAcentral. Lineage: Eukaryota; Viridiplantae; Streptophyta; Magnoliopsida; Malpighiales; Euphorbiaceae.